UAGCGUGAUGCAAACCCGGGCUUCGCCUAUAUGUUUUCAUGAAGAUGAAAGCCCCAAUGCCCGUGCAAUAUAAAUCAGUUGUUGAGUGUUGUAGGUUGGCGAAUCUAUCGGUCUAUACCUGUGUCAAAGCAACAACAACAUCU
This 143-nucleotide small nucleolar RNA is filed under the name Amborella trichopoda. RNAcentral's name for it is "snoRNA snoR134". It matches the Rfam family "small nucleolar RNA snoR134". Lineage: Eukaryota; Viridiplantae; Streptophyta; Magnoliopsida; Amborellales; Amborellaceae. The record is from Rfam by way of RNAcentral.